GCCAUUGUGGCUCAGUUGUUAGAGCGUUGGCCCAUACACGGAAGGAUCAUGGGUUCAAUUCCCAGCAAGGGCA
Myotis davidii is the source of this 73-nucleotide non-coding RNA. Lineage: Eukaryota; Metazoa; Chordata; Mammalia; Chiroptera; Vespertilionidae. The record is from Rfam.